CUACGUGCCAGCAGCCGCGGUAAUACGUAGGGCGCGAGCGUUGUCCGGAAUUAUUGGGCGUAAAGGGCUUGUAGGCGGUUGGUCGCGUCUGCCGUGAAAUCCUCUGGCUUAACUGGGGGCGUGCGGUGGGUACGGGCUGACUUGAGUGCGGUAGGGGAGACUGGAACUCCUGGUGUAGCGGUGGAAUGCGCAGAUAUCAGGAAGAACACCGGUGGCGAAGGCGGGUCUCUGGGCCGUUACUGACGCUGAGGAGCGAAAGCGUGGGGAGCGAACAGGAUUAGAUACCCUGGUAGUCCACGCUGUAAACGUUGGGCACUAGGUGUGGGGGCCACCCGUGGUUUCUGCGCUGUAGCUAACGCUUUAAGUGCCCCGCCUGGGGAGUACGGCCGCAAGGCUAAAACUCAAAGGAAUUGACGGGGGCCCGCACAAGCGGUGGAGUAUGUGGUUUAAUUCGACGCAACGCGAAGAACCUUACCAGGUCUUGACAUUGAUGGACAGAACUAGAGAUAG
Molecule: ribosomal RNA, 510 nt
Filed under: uncultured bacterium
Lineage: Bacteria
Description: bacterial SSU rRNA
Rfam family: Bacterial small subunit ribosomal RNA
Source: RNAcentral